UAACACGUGGGUAACCUGCCCAGAAGCAGGGGAUAACACCUGGAAACAGAUGCUAAUACCGUAUAACAGAGAAAACCGCCUGGUUUUCUUUUAAAAGAUGGCUCUGCUAUCACUUCUGGAUGGACCCGCGGCGCAUUAGCUAGUUGGUGAGGUAACGGCUCACCAAGGCGAUGAUGCGUAGCCGACCUGAGAGGGUAAUCGGCCACAUUGGGACUGAGACACGGCCCAG
Molecule: ribosomal RNA, 229 nt
Filed under: uncultured bacterium
Lineage: Bacteria
Also listed under: 1 other name
Description: partial 16S ribosomal RNA
Rfam family: Bacterial small subunit ribosomal RNA
Source: RNAcentral